This 84-nucleotide transfer RNA is filed under the name Polyangiaceae bacterium. RNAcentral describes it as "tRNA-Leu". It matches the Rfam family "tRNA". Rfam says of the family: Transfer RNA (tRNA) molecules are approximately 80 nucleotides in length. Their secondary structure includes four short double-helical elements and three loops (D, anti-codon, and T loops). The record is from RNAcentral. Lineage: Bacteria; Pseudomonadati; Myxococcota; Polyangiales; Polyangiaceae.
GCUGCCCUGGCGGAAUUGGCAGACGCGCAUGAUUCAGGUUCAUGUGCCCGAAAGGGUGUCCCGGUUCAAGUCCGGGGGGCAGCA